This 5111-nucleotide long non-coding RNA is filed under the name Gossypium barbadense (sea-island cotton). RNAcentral describes it as "long non-coding RNA (GBAR_LNC014709)". Lineage: Eukaryota; Viridiplantae; Streptophyta; Magnoliopsida; Malvales; Malvaceae. The record is from RNAcentral.
UCUCUCUUAGUUUUCUCUCUUCUCCCAUUUGAGAAUUCUUAAGGAAUUCUAUUUGUUUGUAAUACUUUGAAGAUAGUAAAGUUAUCAUCUGGUGUUAGUGCCCGAGGACGUAGGUAUAAUUUACCGAACCUCGUUAAAACUCUUGUGUUCUUUCUUGUCUUAUUUUUCUUUCAAUAUUUGAGGGUAUAAUAGUAGUAUUUAAUUGUGCUAUUAAAUUACUAUAGAAGGGAUAUUCUGUCUAAGGAAAGACUUGGUAUUUAAGAGAUCCAUGUGAUCCACCUCUCUUUCCUGGGAAUUGAACUUUGUGUGAUUUUUUAGUACAAUAAUUUACACGCUUCCGACUCUAUUGGAACAACAAGUGGUAUCAAGAGCCGAAGGUUAAUCGUAGUAUGCUCUGUGGUUGCAGUUUAAACUGAUCUUCCACAUCAGAAAAGAUUUCCUUAGGUAUAUUGAAAGAUUAUGGAGAAAACGGUCGGUGUAGGAGCUUCAACAUCGUCCAUGUGGACAAGACCGACAAUUGCAAAUGCAAGAUUGGCCGUGGAGAUCUUUGAUGGCACGGGCCAUUUUGGUAUGUGGCAAAGUGAGGUUCUAGAUGCCCUUUUUCAGCAGGGUCUAGACAUUGCCAUUGAUGAAGAGAAACCAGAUGAUGUACAGGAGAAAGAUUGGAAGGCGAUCAAUCGGUUGGCAUGUGGCACUUGAAGAAAAUUUUUUGAAGAAAAACAGUCAAAAUAAGCUCCACUUGAAGAAAAGACUGUUUCGCUUCACAUACGUCCCAAGUACCACAAUGAAUGAUCACAUCACCAAAUUUAAUCAGUUAGUCACUGAUUUGCUGAAUAUGGAUGAGACAUUCAAAGAUGAAGAUUUGACUUUGAUGCUGUUGGGGUCACUUCCUGAGGAGUUUGAGUUCCUAGAAACUACUCUACUUCAUGGCAGGAGUGAUAUAUCUCUGAGCGAAGUCUGUGCGGCCUUAUACAGUUAUGAACAGAGAAAGAAGGACAAACAGAAAAACUCAAUCAGAGAUACAGAAGCUUUAGUAGUCCGAGGUCGUUCAUACACUCGGAAGAAAACUCAAAAGGGAAGAUCAAAGUCAAAGUCCAGACUCGGGAAAGAUGAAUGUGCUUUUUGUCAUGAGAAAGGCCACUGGAAGAAAAAUUGUCCAAAGCUGAAGAAUAAAGGAAAAGCUGCUGUAGAUGCUUGUGUUGCUAAGCAUGAUACUAGUGACUCUGAACUAUCACUGGUUGCAUCAUCAUCGUCGUUCCAUUCAGAUGAGUGGAUAUUGGAUUCGGGUUGUACCUAUCAUAUGUCCCCUAACCGGGAGUGGUUCUCUGAUUUAGUAGAACUAAAUGGAGGAGUUGUUUAUAUGGGCAAUGACAAUGCCUGUAAAACUGUUGGGAUAGGUUCAAUCCAAUUAAAGAAUCAAGAUGGAUCAACCAGAGUUCUGACUGAUGUUCGGUACGUGCCCAGUUUGAAGAAAAAUCUCAUCUCAUUGGGAGCCUUGGAAUCCAAUGGUUCAGUUGUUACUAUGAGAUAUGGGAUUUUGAAAGUGACAUCUGGCGCACUUGUGAUAUUGAAGGGCAUCAGGAAAAAUAAAUUGUAUUACUACCAAGGUAGUACAGUUAUUGGAGCAGUCGCUACAGCUUCCGGUAACAAAGAAUUGGACUCAAUGCAGUUGUGGCAUAUGAAGUUGGGACAUGCCAGCGAAAUAUCCUUGCAAAUUCUGGCAAAGCAAGGAUUGUUGAAAGGUGCAAAGGCUUACAAAUUAAAAUUUUGCGAGCAUUGUGUUCUAGGAAAGCAAAAGAGAGUGAAAUUCGGUACUGCUAUCCAUAAUACAAAAGGUAUUUUGGAAUAUGUUCACUCAGAUGUGUGGAGGCCUUCCAACACACCUUCAUUGGGAGGAAAACACUACUUUGUUACUUUUGUUGAUGACUUUUCCAGAAGAGUUUGGGUGUAUACCAUGAGAACUAAAGAUGAAGUGCUUAGAGUUUUUCUUAAAUGGAAAACUAUGAUCGAAAACCAGACUGGCAAGAAAAUCAAGCGGCUUAGGACGGACAAUUGAGGGGAAUAUAAAAGUGAUCCGUUCUUCGAUGUGUGCCAAGAGUAUGGUAUUGUUCGACACUUCACAGUUAGGGAUACACCACAGCAGAAUGGAUUGGCAGAGCGUAUGAAUCGAACAUUGCUGGAGAAAGUUCGAUGUAUGUUGUCCAAUGCUGGGUUGGGCAAGCAAUUUUGGGCUGAGGCUGUGACAUACGCUGGCCAUCUUGUUAAUCGUUUGCCAUCAUCUGCAUUAGAAAGAAAAACUCCUAUGGAGGUAUGGUCUGGAAAACCGGCUACAGAUUAUGAUUCCUUACAUGUGUUUGGAACCACUGCAUAUUACCAUAUGAAGGAGUCAAAGUUAGAUCCGAGGGCAAAGAAAGCUCUCUUUAUGGGAAUCACUUCUGGAGUGAAGGGAUUUCGUCUUUGGUGCUUAAGCACAAAGAAAAUGAUCUGUAGCAGAGAUGUUACCUUUGAUGAAUCUGCCACAUUGAAAAAGGUAGCAGAUAAAGAUAUUCAGACGAGUAAUACUCCACAGCAGGUGGAGUGUACUCCAAAACAGGUGGAGUUUGAGCAGAUGGGGAUUUGCCCAGUUAAUAAGUCUAACUCUCCAGCCACAAUGGAGGAAUUAGAGGUUGAAGAGGUUCUGACCCAAGAACCACUAAGUACACCAGAACCAGUUGCAGUUGCAAGGCCACGGAGAGAAAUUCGUAAACCUGCUCGAUUUACUGAUAUGGUGGCCUACGCCCUUCCUGUUGUUGAUGAUAUUCCUAUCACUUAUCAAGAAGCAAUGCAAAGCUUAGAAAGUGAUAAAUGGAAAAGCGCCAUGGAUGAAGAAAUGCAGUCUCUCCUGAAGAAUAAUACUUGGGAAUUGGCGCAAUUACCGAAAGGUAAAAGGGCAAUCGGAUGCAAGUGGGUAUUCGCAAAGAAAGAUGGAUCUCCUAGCAAGAAGGAUAUUCGCUACAAGGCAAGACUGGUAGCUAAAGGCUACGCUCAGAAGGAGGGAAUUGACUACAAUGAUGUAUUUUCCCCUGUUGUGAAGCAUUCCUCCAUUAGAAUUUUGUUGGCCUUGGUAGCACAGUUGAAUUUGGAGCUAGCUCAACUUGAUGUUAAGACGGCUUUCUUGCAUGGUGAUUUAGAAGAGGAGAUCUAUAUGACUCAGCCCGAAGGAUACACAGAUGAUGGUGGUAGAAAUUGGGUUUGUAAGCUGAACAAAUCGCUAUAUGGAUUGAAGCAAUCCCCGAGGCAGUGGUACAAGCGAUUUGAUAGCUUUAUGAGAAGGCAAAAGUACACAAGAAGCAAAUAUGACAAUUGUGUAUAUUUGCAGAAGCUGCAUGACAGAUCUUUCAUUUAUCUACUCUUGUAUGUUGAUGAUAUGUUAAUCGCUUCGAAGAGCCAAAAUGAGAUAGAUAAGCUGAAGGCUCAAUUGAAUCAAGAGUUCGAGAUGAAAGAUCUAGGUGAGGCCAAGAAGAUUCUCGGCAUGGAGAUAAGUAGAGAUAGACCGAGAGGCAAGCUCUGUUUAAAUCAAAAGCAAUAUCUGAAAAAGGUAUUACAAUGUUUUGGUGUAAAUGAAAACACAAAACAUGUAAGUACCCCACUUGUUUCUCAUUUGAAACUUAGUGCUCAAUUAUCUCUGAAGACUGAAGAUGAAAGAGAAUAUAUGGCGAAAGUCCCAUAUGCUAAUGCAGUUGGGAGUUUGAUGUAUGCGAUGGUGUGUACGAGGCCUGACAUUUCACAAGCUGGUGGAGUUGUGAGCAGGUAUAUGCAUGAUCCUGGAAAAGGACAUUGGCAAGCUGUGAAAUGGAUUCUACGGUAUCUUCGAAAAACCGUAGAUGUUGGUUUAAUUUUUGAACAGGAUGAAACACUUGGUCAGUUUGUAGUUGGAUAUGUUGAUUCUGACUUUACUGGUGAUUUAGAUAAACGUCGUUCAACUACGGGGUAUCUGUUUACUCUUGCGAAAGUCCCAGUGAGUUGGAAGUCUACCUUAUAGUCUACAGUAGCUGUGUCUACUACAGAGGCAGAAUAUAUGGCAGUUACAGAAGCUGUUAAGGAGGCUAUUUGGCUUAAUGGAUUAUUGAAAGACUUGGGAGUUGUUCAAAGUCACAUUAGUCUAUAUUGUGACAGUCAGAGUGCUAUUCAUUUAGCGAAAAAUCAAGUCUAUCAUUCAAGAACCAAGCAUAUCGACGUAAGAUAUCACUUUGUGCGGGAAGUCUUUGAAAAAGGAAAAAUUCUACUUCAGAAGAUUCCGACAGCAGAUAAUCCCGCAGAUAUGAUGACCAAAGUGGUAACAACAAUCAAGUUUAAUCAUUGUUUGAACUUGAUUAACAUCCUGAGAAUUUGAGCACCUACAGGUGUAUGGCGCUCGAGAGCGCAUUUAGAGGCACUACAAAAGAUAACUUUAUCGAAUUUGGGGAGUUAAAGGAAGUGUGUGAAGAUGUGAUUAUCCUAAUCAAAUCUUCAAGGUGGAGAUUGUUGAAAGGUCAACAAAGGUAGGAAGCAACUUGUUAAAAAGGUUGAGCAAGUUGCACCGAAUGUUGAAAAGUUGAAUGGGAUAAUUACAAUUUUGGUCCCUAAUUUUUUAGGCCAUUUGCAAGUUAGUCCCUGAACUUCAACUAUAAAUAGGCCUUUUCAUUUUUCAUUUCAACCAUCCCAACCAAUCUUUCUCUCUUAGUUUUCUCUCUUCUCCCAUUUGAGAAUUCUUAAGGAAUUCUAUUUGUUUGUAAUACUUUGAAGAUAGUAAAGUUAUCAUCUGGUGUUAGUGCCCGAGGACGUAGGUAUAAUUUACCGAACCUCGUUAAAACUCUUGUGUUCUUUCUUGUCCUAUUUUUCUUUCAAUAUUUGAGGGUAUAAUAGUAGUAUUUAAUUGUGCUAUUAAAUUACUAUAGAAGGGAUAUUCUGUCUAAGGAAAGACUUGGUAUUUAAGAGAUCCAUGUGAUCCACCUCUCUUUCCUGGGAAUUGAACUUUGUGUGAUUUUUUAGUACAAUAAUUUACACGCUUCCGACCCUAUUGGAACAACAGUUCCAAGAAAUCCUCCAAAAUGUAAUUUUAAUUUUUCCCGGGAGGUCUAGUUUCCAUAAGA